UACGAAGGGGGCUAGCGUUGCUCGGAAUCACUGGGCGUAAAGCGCACGUAGGCGGAUUGUUAAGUCAGGGGUGAAAUCCUGGAGCUCAACUCCAGAACUGCCUUUGAUACUGGCGAUCUUGAGUCCGGGAGAGGUGAGUGGAACUCCGAGUGUAGAAGUGAAAUUCGUAGAUAUUCGGAAGAACACCAGUGGCGAAGGCGGCUCACUGGCCCGGUACUGACGCUGAUGUGCGAAAGCGUGGGGAGCAAACAGG
This 253-nucleotide ribosomal RNA is filed under the name uncultured bacterium. RNAcentral describes it as "partial 16S ribosomal RNA". It matches the Rfam family "Bacterial small subunit ribosomal RNA", at positions 524 to 776 of the family's 1533-position model. The record is from RNAcentral.